Molecule: transfer RNA, 73 nt
Filed under: Trichonephila inaurata madagascariensis
Lineage: Eukaryota; Metazoa; Arthropoda; Arachnida; Araneae; Nephilidae
Rfam family: tRNA
About the family: Transfer RNA (tRNA) molecules are approximately 80 nucleotides in length. Their secondary structure includes four short double-helical elements and three loops (D, anti-codon, and T loops).
Source: Rfam by way of RNAcentral
GUCCCUGUAGCGCAAUGGACAGCGCGUUGGACUUCUAAUCUAAAGGUCAUGGGUUUGAAUCCCUCCUGGGAUG